This 317-nucleotide ribosomal RNA is filed under the name uncultured soil bacterium. Its description in RNAcentral is "bacterial SSU rRNA". It matches the Rfam family "Bacterial small subunit ribosomal RNA", at positions 27 to 339 of the family's 1533-position model. The record is from RNAcentral.
GGGAUGAACGCUGGCGGCGUGCUUAACACAUGCAAGUCGAACGAUGAAGGCUGGAGCUUGCUCUGGCUGGAUUAGUGGCGAACGGGUGAGUAACACGUGAGUAACCUGCCCCAGACUCUGGGAUAAGCGCUGGAAACGGCGUCUAAUACCGGAUACGAGCUUCCACCGCAUGGUGAGGAGCUGGAAAGAAUUUCGGUCUGGGAUGGACUCGCGGCCUAUCAGCUUGUUGGUGAGGUAAUGGCUCACCAAGGCGACGACGGGUAGCCGGCCUGAGAGGGUGACCGGCCACACUGGGACUGAGACACGGCCCAGACUCC